RNAcentral lists this long non-coding RNA (480 nucleotides) under Heterocephalus glaber (naked mole-rat). RNAcentral describes it as "lncRNA (ENSHGLG00100045372.1)". Lineage: Eukaryota; Metazoa; Chordata; Mammalia; Rodentia; Bathyergidae. The record is from RNAcentral.
CAUGAUAACACUCAUGGUUCAUGUGCUGCUCUGACUUCGUUCACACCCUCACUGCCCACCGCCCAGUGGUGACCAUGGAGAGGAUUUGUUGAGAGUUUCAGUUUCUCAGGCUGGAAAAUGAAUGUCCAGCCAAUCUCUGCUCUGAACCUCAGAGAAGUGCUUCAUGUGCCUCAGGUCCCUUGUGCCCCCUUGAUCUAAAUGGAAAACAUCGGGAUACCUUGCUUCCUGCCUGUUAGCCCUGAACUCUUGUUCUCUACACAUCUAGAGGCCAGGAGCUGGAUCCGUUGAAGUUCUGUGGGCAUGCUUCUUGUGACUUAAUGAAAGUCUCCAGGAAGAAGGAGCUGGCUGCAUUUUCACUUAUAAAUUAUAUGACAGCUGGAACACGGCAGCUCCAGAUAGGGAAACUGCCUGAAUUUUGACACUGGUUGUGUCCAUGUUGAAGAUAACAGGCAAAAAACUAUUGAUGCAACUGGAGUUGAA